UACUUGAGGGUCCUGUUUGCA
This 21-nucleotide non-coding RNA is filed under the name Arabidopsis thaliana (thale cress). The record is from RNAcentral. Lineage: Eukaryota; Viridiplantae; Streptophyta; Magnoliopsida; Brassicales; Brassicaceae.